UAUAAACGCAAACGUACGCGUGCACAAAUGCAACAAAUAAUCAAAGAAAACGAAAAUAAAUCUAUAAACGCGCGCGCUCAACGCAAUGUCAGACAAGCAGCGGGGUCUUGAUAUCGGCGGGUGGCAUAGGAUAGGCCAGAUCAACAGUGGCAACCGCGUAGGUGACAAGAGCGAGUGUCACAUAAAUUCUUUGAGAAAACUAUAUUUACUAGAACAAAUAAUCUGUGCUGUGCGUGCCGAACGUUGGGAUGUAGUAGACGUUGAGAGAGCGCGAGCGUAGAGCCAAUGCUUUUGCAGUAUAUGUAUGGUUGGUAAUUCAGCCGAUUUCGUAGGCAAGAAAAUCCAAAAACCAAAACCCGCAUCAUCCGACAUGGCUAAAAAUACGCGCAAAAACGCAAAAAAAUAGCAUAAUAAAGAAAUAAAUAUAAAUAAAAAUACGUUAGAAAUCAAAAAGUAAUUGAAAACGGUGGUAGUGCUGGUAGUAGAGACGAAGGGAAAUGGCAGUGGUUUUGGAGCGCGGAGGUGGUGAAGAACCAAAGCAAUAUCGGGAAAACAAAACUAAUUUUUACAACAAUAGAUUACUUACAAACCUGAGGAAUAAGUCUUGGAAAAACCGCUAAUAAAAUUUCGGAAAUAUGAAUUUUUUAAGAAAUUAAAUAAAAAAAUAAUAAAAUGAAUGGUACAUAUUGUGAAUAGGUCAUAUAACCGUCUCGUCCUUUGCAAACCCCAUAAUGAUAGGCCAAUUCCUUCUUUAGCCAUUUUAACAACCUAACAUGCAUGAAAAUAUGCACACGUGCAUGGAAUUCGCAAGAGACAAAAAACCAAGAAGGAAAUAGAUAACAUGCCAGCAAAUAACAGUCAAGAUGAUCCAAGUAACAGGCGCAGUUACAAAACAAAAGAGGCAAGAGGCAAACACUUGCCGUAUGAAUAUACAACAGUCCCAGCACCACUUGUGCAUUACAUACAGCCUACCAACCAACAACAUACACGACACAAUCAUUGAAGAGCACACACUGAAGUAACACAGCAUAGGUUGGAAGAAGUGCAUACGGAACAAAGCAAUACGGGCAUUUCAUGCGUAAAAAAAUGGAAUGAUGACGACAAAAGUGUUAGUGGGUUGCUGCCGAGUCGUGGUGUUGCGCUUCUUUAGGUGCCUCCGGAACCGUACGACGGAAAUAUGAAGACCACAAAAGGAAAACUAACAACUAUAACUACUUCUAGUAGUUAAAAUUUAACAAUAGGCUACACAACCACUAGAAUAGCUAUAGCUAAAGCACAUAAACGAGUGUGACACAAAGCCAACAUUGCGCAUCAAAGUGUUUUCAAGUGAGUGAACGGAAACAUAUGCAUAAAUACUUAAAAAGACUGUAACACAUAAAUGACUGGAUAUGUAAUGGUUUAGAAUGACCAAGUAGCUAUGUGACUGACUAAGCGUCAAAAAUUUUAAACUGUGCGUUAGGCACUAUGUCUUUCAGCCAAUAACUUAUCAAAGCCUGAGUUAGUACGGUCGGCAGAGGUUUUGUCGGUUUAUGCAAACCUGAUAUUAAAUUAAAAUUAAAUAUUAUCGCUUAUAUGUGCCUGUAUAUUUAUAAUAUAUUUAUAUGCGUAAUAAUGUUUGAUUCAAUUUGGUGA
Molecule: long non-coding RNA, 1632 nt
Filed under: Bactrocera tryoni
Lineage: Eukaryota; Metazoa; Arthropoda; Insecta; Diptera; Tephritidae
Description: uncharacterized LOC120767042
Source: RNAcentral